Molecule: ribosomal RNA, 145 nt
Filed under: uncultured eukaryote
Lineage: Eukaryota
Description: partial 18S ribosomal RNA
Rfam family: Eukaryotic small subunit ribosomal RNA
Source: RNAcentral
UGGUGGAGUGAUUUGUCUGGUUUAUUCCGUUAACGAACGAGACCUCGACCUGCUAAAUAGUGUUGCCUUGCCCCGUGCAAGGCUCACCCAACACUUCUUAGAGGGACUAUCGGUGGCUAGCCGGUGGAAGUUCGAGGCAAUAACA